UUUCCGUAGGUGAACCUGCGGAAGGAUCAUUAUUGUAUAACCGAGGUGCGAGGGCUGUCGCUGACCCGAAAGGUCGUGCACGCCCGAGUGCCCUCACACACAUCCAUCUCACCCCUAUGUGCACCACCGCGUGGGUCCCCCUUUGGCUUGUUCGGAGGGGGGCUUACGUUUUCACACAAACUUUGUAUGCAGUGUAGAAUGUAUUUUUUGUUUUUGCGAUCACGCAAUCAAUAAACUUUCAACAACGGAUCUCUUGGUUCUG
This 262-nucleotide unclassified non-coding RNA is filed under the name plant metagenome. Its description in RNAcentral is "partial contains small subunit ribosomal RNA, internal transcribed spacer 1, and 5.8S ribosomal RNA". The record is from RNAcentral.